RNAcentral lists this unclassified non-coding RNA (300 nucleotides) under uncultured fungus. RNAcentral describes it as "sequence contains 5.8S rRNA gene, ITS2". The stretch from base 1 to 84 matches the Rfam family "5.8S ribosomal RNA", at positions 67 to 154 of the family's 154-position model. Lineage: Eukaryota; Fungi. The record is from RNAcentral.
GUAUAAGAUACAGGUGAGUCAUCGAAUCUUUGAACGCAACUUGCGCCCUCUGGUAUUCCGGAGGGCAUGCCUGUCUGAGUGUCGUGUGGACUCGACCCCCUGGGUUUCCCGGGGAGGCCGGAUGUGGGCCCUGCCGUCAAUGGCUGGCCUGAAAUGAAUGAGCGGGACUGACGUCCAUGUCGGGAGUAAUAAGUUUCUUCUGACGGCCGACGGCGCCUGCUGCGAACCCCCCGUUUCUCGACUCUGACCUCAGAUCAGGUAGGGCUACCCGCUGAACUUAAGCAUAUCAAUAAGCGGAGG